GACGAACGCUGGCGGCGUGCUUAACACAUGCAAGUCGAACGGAAAGGCCCUGCUUUUGUGGGGUGCUCGAGUGGCGAACGGGUGAGUAACACGUGAGUAACCUGCCCUUCACUUUGGGAUAACGUCAGGAAACUGGGGCUAAUACCGGAUAGGAGCUCCUGCUGCAUGGUGGGGGCGGGAAAGUUUCGGCGGUUGGGGAUGGACUCGCGGCUUAUCAGCUCGAUGGUGGGGUAGUGGCAUACCAUGGCUUUGACGGGUAGCCGGCCUGGGAGGGGGAGCGGCCACACUGGGACUGAGAUGCGGCCCGGACUCGAACGGGACGCAACAGAGGGGAAUAUUACACUAGGGGCGGAGGCCUGCUGCGGCAUCGCCACGUGCGGUAUGACGGCCUUCGGGUUGUGAUCCGAUUUCGCCUGUGACGAGGCGUGAGUGACGGUAAUAGGUGAAGAAGCACCGGCUAACUACGUG
This 468-nucleotide ribosomal RNA is filed under the name uncultured bacterium. RNAcentral's name for it is "partial 16S ribosomal RNA". It matches the Rfam family "Bacterial small subunit ribosomal RNA", at positions 28 to 507 of the family's 1533-position model. The record is from RNAcentral.